GGCCAUGUAGCUCAGGGGUUAGAGCACAGCAUUCAUAAUGCUGGUGUCGCUGGUUCAAAUCCAGCCAUGGCCACCA
This 76-nucleotide transfer RNA is filed under the name Salinisphaera hydrothermalis. Its description in RNAcentral is "tRNA-Met". It matches the Rfam family "tRNA". Rfam says of the family: Transfer RNA (tRNA) molecules are approximately 80 nucleotides in length. Their secondary structure includes four short double-helical elements and three loops (D, anti-codon, and T loops). Lineage: Bacteria; Pseudomonadati; Pseudomonadota; Gammaproteobacteria; Salinisphaerales; Salinisphaeraceae. RNAcentral also lists the same sequence under 9 other names. The record is from RNAcentral.